This 871-nucleotide ribosomal RNA is filed under the name Streptococcus agalactiae. Its description in RNAcentral is "bacterial SSU rRNA". It matches the Rfam family "Bacterial small subunit ribosomal RNA", at positions 27 to 879 of the family's 1533-position model. The record is from RNAcentral. Lineage: Bacteria; Bacillati; Bacillota; Bacilli; Lactobacillales; Streptococcaceae.
GGACGAACGCUGGCGGCGUGCCUAAUACAUGCAAGUAGAACGCUGAGGUUUGGUGUUUACACUAGACUGAUGAGUUGCGAACGGGUGAGUAACGCGUAGGUAACCUGCCUCAUAGCGGGGGAUAACUAUUGGAAACGAUAGCUAAUACCGCAUAAGAGUAAUUAACACAUGUUAGUUAUUUAAAAGGAGCAAUUGCUUCACUGUGAGAUGGACCUGCGUUGUAUUAGCUAGUUGGUGAGGUAAAGGCUCACCAAGGCGACGAUACAAAGCCGACCUGAGAGGGUGAUCGGCCACACUGGGACUGAGACACGGCCCAGACUCCUACGGGAGGCAGCAGUAGGGAAUCUUCGGCAAUGGACGGAAGUCUGACCGAGCAACGCCGCGUGAGUGAAGAAGGUUUUCGGAUCGUAAAGCUCUGUUGUUAGAGAAGAACGUUGGUAGGAGUGGAAAAUCUACCAAGUGACGGUAACUAACCAGAAAGGGACGGCUAACUACGUGCCAGCAGCCGCGGUAAUACGUAGGUCCCGAGCGUUGUCCGGAUUUAUUGGGCGUAAAGCGAGCGCAGGCGGUUCUUUAAGUCUGAAGUUAAAGGCAGUGGCUUAACCAUUGUACGCUUUGGAAACUGGAGGACUUGAGUGCAGAAGGGGAGAGUGGAAUUCCAUGUGUAGCGGUGAAAUGCGUAGAUAUAUGGAGGAACACCGGUGGCGAAAGCGGCUCUCUGGUCUGUAACUGACGCUGAGGCUCGAAAGCGUGGGGAGCAAACAGGAUUAGAUACCCUGGUAGUCCACGCCGUAAACGAUGAGUGCUAGGUGUUAGGCCCUUUCCGGGGCUUAGUGCCGCAGCUAACGCAUUAAGCACUCCGCUCUGUGGA